RNAcentral lists this long non-coding RNA (2164 nucleotides) under Strongylocentrotus purpuratus (purple sea urchin). RNAcentral describes it as "uncharacterized LOC105440729". The record is from RNAcentral. Lineage: Eukaryota; Metazoa; Echinodermata; Echinoidea; Camarodonta; Strongylocentrotidae.
AUGAGCGAUAUUUUUUUUUUUAACUGCAACUAAUCAAAUGAUUAAUCUCUAGAUUUUUUAGAUGAGAACGUUCAAUCUAAACGUCUUUGCGUUCAAACAAAUUCAACGUACGUACGAUCUCUGUAUUGCGCGCGCGCAUAGCCUAUAUAGCGAGCGCCUAUAGCAGCCGAAGCCUACAGCGAUGCGAAUGCGGUUCCAAAAUAUAGGCUCAACGAGCACGAUAUCCACCUAGAUUCGUCUGUACUAUUCGCGUCUCGAAAUACCUCAUUUUCUGGCGUUUUCAUCAUGGAUGAAAGACUUUAAUGAGCUUAUUGCUGAUAUAUCAAAUAUCUCCAGGAAAAGACAGAAAAAUGAAGAAUGGAUGAAAUCCAAAGCAAAAGAGCGGAGAAACAGUGCACUACUGAAGGUUAACGGCCAGCCGUUGUAUGCCGUCAUCCAUCACAAUGCCUUUGUAAAGCAGCAAUCCUUGACGAGGGGGGGGGGGCAUUGAUGACAUCUUCCAUGCUCUCUCUAAGAAGAUUCCAAGACAAGAUGCAUUCAUAGCAGCGUACAAAACGGAUGUUAAUUAAAAGCUCUUGCUCGCACGCAGUAGCCAUCAACAUUGAAGAGAAAAAUCAUGCAGCUACUGCUUUGCAUGGACCACGCACCUACCUUGAAACUGUCAAGGAGUUUUAUGCAGCAAUCUGCAUAUAUCGGAGCAAUGGAUGUUGAUAGUGAUGAGAAGGAGGAUGAAUCAACAGUUGUCAUGUAUCAUGUUUGAUGAAUGAAACUAUAAAGAGGCAUGUUAAUUUAAUUCAAUUGACAAAGUCGAUAAACGUAUCACUAAAAUAGUUCUGGAAUGCAUCAGAGUAUAGAUCCUUCCAGAUAAAUGAUUCCAUUAGGAAUGGUAUUUUACUAUUUUUGUUGUUGGUAGUUUAACUUUAAAGCUUUCAAAUUAAGAUGUGAAUUUGCCAAAUAUUCAUGGCGUAAGAUAAAACAGUUAUAUAUGUUUUGAGAUUGAAAUUAAAUGGCGUACUAAUCACCUCCCGGAAGUACAGGCCAGGUAUCAAAAGAAACAGUUGCACCGUUGGUUUUAGGUAAAAUGUUAGCAUUAAUUAUGGUGACAUUGAUUACUUUUUGAAAUGUUUUACAGAAUUUUAUAAUGAGGUAUUUUGUAUAAACGAUCAAGUCGAUCAUUGUGUUUGCAAAACAGCAUACUACCAUACUGUUAUUUCCAAAUUUGCCCUGAGCAAUACACUCCUCUGUACUGAUCAGUUUACUGGUGCAAAUAAUCCUAAUAUUUCAUUGGUAAAGAAAGAGAGAGAAGAAACCUGUGUCAUCAAUAUAUUGAAGAUUGUAGAGGUAUGCGUGUGGAUGGAUGUCAGGUUAAAUGAUGUAUUUGUUGCACAUUAAACUUAUCAGUCUGGCGGGACGUUUGCCAUGAAGCAUACUCUCGACAGUCACUGUUAUGAAUUUGUUAGGUAACUUUAAUUCAAAUUGCUAGCAGCAUAGUGAAGGCUUGUCAAUAGUUCUGCUUCUGUAAUUCUGUUGAGUGUUGACACUGCAGCCUCUUCUAUCGUACCAUCACUUUUGGGCCGACUGCCCUUCUGUCUUUACACAAUUGAGAAAUAAAUGUUGUCAACCAGCAUAUGUUACUUUAAAACAAAAAUGAGAGUAAUGUAACAAGAGUUUUCUAUUACAUUUUAGCCUUGUGAAAGGAAAGUUAUGUAAUUAUCAUAUUUUUUUCCAUGUUAGUGAUGUCACAUAAUCAUUAAUGAUUCAAUGUUGUAUACAUACUCACAUUUUUAGUAAACAUUGUGAAUUGGUGAUGAUAAUGUACAUUAAUUGAUAUUUUGAAAAUUUAUAUUAUCACAUGGAAUGAUGACUAGGGCUGGCAGUAGGGGCAAUGUUUAGGAUUCUUUCAACUCUGUGGCUAAAUCAGGAUUCUCACCCUGUAACGACUAUAAAGUAGUUUUACUAAAAGUGCCGUAUUCAUAGUCGCUUAUAUUGUAGUGGCCAUGGAAUUUUUGUUAAAGGUUCUUAUAUCUCUAUUCUAAGUUCUUGCUCAUUUUUAUGUAUAACAAUGCCUUGGCAGAGAGUACUGUGCUACCACUGCUGUGCAGUGUUUACUUUUUAGUAUACUGAUAGACCAAUGAGUAAAUAAAAGAUAACAGUUAACAAAUAA